UUAUCAUAACUAACAAAGCCAUCCC
RNAcentral lists this non-coding RNA (25 nucleotides) under Rattus norvegicus (Norway rat). Lineage: Eukaryota; Metazoa; Chordata; Mammalia; Rodentia; Muridae. The record is from RNAcentral.